RNAcentral lists this ribosomal RNA (264 nucleotides) under uncultured archaeon. Its description in RNAcentral is "partial 16S ribosomal RNA". It matches the Rfam family "Archaeal small subunit ribosomal RNA", at positions 718 to 982 of the family's 1478-position model. The record is from RNAcentral.
AGUCACUGACAUUAGAUACCCGGUAGUCCAGGGUGUAAACGCUGCGGGCUUGGUGUUGGGGGUCCUUUGAGGGCGCCCAGUGCCGGAGAGAAGUUGUUAAGCCUGCUGCUUGGGGAGUACGUCCGCAAGGAUGAAACUUAAAGGAAUUGGCGGGGGAGCACCGCAACGGGAGGAGCGUGCGGUUCAAUUGGAUUCAACGCCGGACAACUCACCAGGAGCGACGGUUACAUGAAGGCCAGGCUGAUGACCUUGCCUGAUUUUCCG